GUCUACAGCCAUGCCACCCUGAAAAAGCCCGAUGUCUGAUCUUGGAAGCUAAGCAGGGUCGGGCUCGGUUAGUACUUGGAUGGAAGACUACCUAGGAAGACCAGGUUCUGUAGGCA
RNAcentral lists this ribosomal RNA (116 nucleotides) under Pteropus alecto (black flying fox). Lineage: Eukaryota; Metazoa; Chordata; Mammalia; Chiroptera; Pteropodidae. The record is from RNAcentral.